RNAcentral lists this unclassified non-coding RNA (332 nucleotides) under soil metagenome. Its description in RNAcentral is "partial contains 5.8S ribosomal RNA, internal transcribed spacer 2, and large subunit ribosomal RNA". The stretch from base 1 to 120 matches the Rfam family "5.8S ribosomal RNA", at positions 35 to 154 of the family's 154-position model. The record is from RNAcentral.
GAUGAAGAACGCAGCAAAAUGCGAUAAGUAAUGUGAAUUGCAGAAUUCAGUGAAUCAUCGAAUCUUUGAACGCACAUUGCGCCCGCCAGUAUUCUGGCGGGCAUGCCUGUUCGAGCGUCAUUUCAACCCUCAAGCACAGCUUGGUGUUGGGACUCGCGUUAAUUCGCGUUCCUCAAAUUGAUUGGCGGUCACGUCGAGCUUCCAUAGCGUAGUAGUAAAACCCUCGUUACUGGUAAUCGUCGCGGCCACGCCGUUAAACCCCAACUUCUGAAUGUUGACCUCGGAUCAGGUAGGAAUACCCGCUGAACUUAAGCAUAUCAAUCAGCGGAGGA